RNAcentral lists this ribosomal RNA (499 nucleotides) under uncultured bacterium. RNAcentral's name for it is "bacterial SSU rRNA". It matches the Rfam family "Bacterial small subunit ribosomal RNA", at positions 29 to 532 of the family's 1533-position model. The record is from RNAcentral.
AACGAACGCUGGCGGCGUGCUUAACACAUGCAAGUCGAACGGGUUUAAUGGAUGUAGCAAUACAUUCAUUAAAUUAGUGGCGCACGGGUGAGUAACACGUAGGUAACCUACCCUUCAGUGGGGGACAACAGAGGGAAACUUCUGCUAAUACCGCAUACGAUCACGGACUGGGAUGUUCGUGGUGAAAGGAUUUAUUCGCUGAGGGAUGGGCCUGCGGCCUAUCAGGUAGUUGGUGAGGUAAUGGCUCACCAAGCCUGCGACGGGUAGCCGGACUGAGAGGUCGAUCGGCCACACUGGAACUGAGACACGGUCCAGACUCCUACGGGAGGCAGCAGUGGGGAAUAUUGCACAAUGGGGGAAACCCUGAUGCAGCGACGCCGCGUGGAGGAUGACGGCCUUCGGGUUGUAAACGUCCUUUUGUUCAGGGACAAUGGUGAUGGUACCUGACGAAUAAGCCACGGCUAACUACGUGCCAGCAGCCGCGGUAAGCUGUAGUCGU